GAGUUUGAUUAUGGCUCAGAGUGAACGCUGGCGGCGUGCCUAAUACAUGCAAGUCGAACGGAGAUUAAAGUAAGCUUGCUUAUUUUAAUCUUAGUGGCGCACGGGUGAGUAAUGUAUAGCUAAUCUGCCAUACACUAGAGGACAACAGUUGGAAACGACUGCUAAUACUCUAUACUCCUUCUUUACAUAAGUUAAGUCGGGAAAGUUUUUCGGUGUAGGAUGAGGCUAUAUCGUAUCAGCUAGUUGGUGAGGUAAUGGCUCACCAAGGCUAUGACGCGUAACUGGUCUGAGAGGAUGAUCAGUCACACUGGAACUGAGACACGGUCCAGACUCCUACGGGAGGCAGCAGUAGGGAAUAUUGCUCAAUGGGGGAAACCCUGAAGCAGCAACGCCGCGUGGAGGAUGACACUUUUCGGAGCGUAAACUCCUUUUCUUGGGAAAGAAUUAUGACG
Molecule: ribosomal RNA, 452 nt
Filed under: Campylobacter sp. canine oral taxon 011
Lineage: Bacteria; Pseudomonadati; Campylobacterota; Epsilonproteobacteria; Campylobacterales; Campylobacteraceae
Description: bacterial SSU rRNA
Rfam family: Bacterial small subunit ribosomal RNA
Source: RNAcentral